UGGGGAAUCUUGCGCAAUGCACGACAGUGUGACGCGGCAACGCCGCGUGGGGGAAGAAGGCCUUCGGGUUGUAAACCUCUUUCAGGAGGGACGAAGCUUCGGCAGCGAAUAGCUGUCCGGAGUGACGGUACUUCCAUAAGAAGCCCCGGCUAACUACGUGCCAGCAGCCGCGGUAAUACGUAGGGGGCAAGCGUUGUCCGGAAUCAUUGGGCGUAAAGAGCGCGUAGGCGGCCAGAUAAGUCCGGUGUGAAAGUCACAGGCUCAACCUGUGAAUGCCGCUGGAAACUGUUUGGCUAGAGUCCCGGUAGGGGCGAGUGGAAUUCCUGGUGUAGCGGUGAAAUGCGCAGAUAUCAGGAGGAACACCAAUGGCGAAGGCAGCUCGCUGGAACGGUACUGACGCUGAGGCGCGAAAGCGUGGGGAGCGAACAGGAUUAGGAUACCCUGGUAGUCCACGCCGUAACGAUGGGUACUAGGUGUAGGAGGUGUCGGACUCC
Molecule: ribosomal RNA, 494 nt
Filed under: uncultured Actinomycetes bacterium
Lineage: Bacteria; Bacillati; Actinomycetota; Actinomycetes
Description: bacterial SSU rRNA
Rfam family: Bacterial small subunit ribosomal RNA
Source: RNAcentral